This 27-nucleotide small RNA is filed under the name Bombyx mori (domestic silkworm). RNAcentral's name for it is "ovarian small RNA-5442". The record is from RNAcentral. Lineage: Eukaryota; Metazoa; Arthropoda; Insecta; Lepidoptera; Bombycidae.
GGCAAGGUCACUUACCUACAACAUUGA